GAUGAAGGAGGGUAUGCCGAUAGGUUGAUAUAGUUCGGGGCGAUUCUCCGCAGCGCAGCCGCUCGAGGGCGCUCCUCGUCGAGCUCCCACAACCCUAAACUCAUGGAUACCACUUAGGGGAAUUGAGGGUUUUCCGCCGGGGCUUUCCCGCUCUCACCUCACGCGGAGGGAGUGCUAAAAAAGCCCCGAUGCCUCGGCUAUGCUGCGGGAUCGUGUUCAACAUUGUCUCGUGGGCUGGUGAAAGGAAACUGGGGUUAGGGAGGCAAGCGGGGUCGACCGCGCGGUUCGCCGCCCUGUUCGACGAGUCCAUUGUCUCCCGUGGAUUGCCCGAACAUAUUCUUCCGGUUCCUGCCCUCCUUCGACCACCUUUUA
This 372-nucleotide non-coding RNA is filed under the name Marchantia polymorpha (common liverwort). Lineage: Eukaryota; Viridiplantae; Streptophyta; Marchantiopsida; Marchantiales; Marchantiaceae. The record is from RNAcentral.